CGCCUGCCCCGUGACAAAGGUUUAACGGCCGCGGUAUUCUGACCGUGCAAAGGUAGCGCAAUCACUUGUCUUUUAAAUGAAGACCUGUAUGAAUGGCAUAACGAGGGCUUAACUGUCUCCUUUCCCCAAUCAAUGAAAUUGAUCUCUUCGUGCAGAAGCGAGGAUGAAUUCAUAAGACGAGAAGACCCUAUGGAGCUUUAGAUACCAAGACAGAUCUUGUUAAACACCUCAAAAUAACGAAAAAAACUAAAAGAAUCCUGCCCUAUUAUCUUUGGUUGGGGCGACCGCGGGGAAACAAAUAACCCCCAUGUGGACUGAGAAGACAAUUCUCACAACUAAGAGCCACAGCUCUAGCUAGCAGAACUUCUGACCUUUAAGAUCCGGCAAUGCCGAUCAACGGACCGAGUUACCCUAGGGAUAACAGCGCAAUCCUUUUUUAGAGUUCAUAUCGACAAAAGGGUUUACGACCUCGAUGUUGGAUCAGGACAUCCUAAUGGUGCAGCCGCUAUUAAGGGUUCGUUUGUUCAACGAUUAAAGUCCU
This 541-nucleotide ribosomal RNA is filed under the name Betta patoti. RNAcentral's name for it is "partial 16S ribosomal RNA". It matches the Rfam family "Bacterial large subunit ribosomal RNA", at positions 1856 to 2597 of the family's 2925-position model. Lineage: Eukaryota; Metazoa; Chordata; Actinopteri; Anabantiformes; Osphronemidae. The record is from RNAcentral.